GUUCCUAUCGUCUAGCCAGGUCCAGGACACAGGCCUUUCACGCCUGCAGCGCGGGUUCAAAUCCCGCUAGGAACACUA
This 78-nucleotide transfer RNA is filed under the name Candidatus Poribacteria bacterium. Its description in RNAcentral is "tRNA-Glu". It matches the Rfam family "tRNA". From Rfam's summary of the family: Transfer RNA (tRNA) molecules are approximately 80 nucleotides in length. Their secondary structure includes four short double-helical elements and three loops (D, anti-codon, and T loops). Lineage: Bacteria; Candidatus Poribacteria. The record is from RNAcentral.